UACGUAGGGUGCGAGCGUUGUCCGGAAUUAUUGGGCGUAAAGGGCUCGUAGGCGGUUUGUCGCGUCGGGAGUGAAAACCAUGAGCUUAACUCAUGGCUUGCUUUCGAUACGGGCAGACUAGAGGUAUGCAGGGGAGAACGGAAUUCCUGGUGUAGCGGUGAAAUGCGCAGAUAUCAGGAGGAACACCGGUGGCGAAGGCGGCUCUCUGGGCAUUACCUGACGCUGAGGAGCGAAAGUGUGGGGAUCAAACAGG
RNAcentral lists this ribosomal RNA (253 nucleotides) under uncultured bacterium. RNAcentral describes it as "partial 16S ribosomal RNA". It matches the Rfam family "Bacterial small subunit ribosomal RNA", at positions 524 to 776 of the family's 1533-position model. The record is from RNAcentral.